Molecule: long non-coding RNA, 400 nt
Organism: Oncorhynchus tshawytscha (Chinook salmon)
Lineage: Eukaryota; Metazoa; Chordata; Actinopteri; Salmoniformes; Salmonidae
Source: Ensembl
UGGGAGGAAAAAGAGGAUAGAGGGAGUGAAUAAGACGUGAGGAAAGACAGGAGGAGGGAUCAGAGACACAGGGGAGAGAGAAGAGAGGAGUAGAGAAGAGGAAGACGGGAUGGGAGAGGUGCAGAGAGAGAGGAGUAGAGGAAGGAGGACGGAACGGGAGAGGUGCAGAGAGAGAGAGAGGAGUAGAGGAGAGGAGGACGGGACGAGAGAGGUGCAGAGAGAGAGAGGAGUAGAGGAGAGGAGGAUGGGACGGGAGAGUUGCAGAGAGAGAGGAGUAGAGGAGAGGAGGAGAGGAGGAUGGGACAGGAGAGUUGCAGAGAGAGAGAGAGGAGUAGAGGAGAGGAGGACGGGACGGGAGAGUUACAGAGAGAGAGACGAGUAUAGGAGAGGAGGUCAGGAC